RNAcentral lists this ribosomal RNA (1436 nucleotides) under uncultured Alphaproteobacteria bacterium. RNAcentral describes it as "uncultured alpha proteobacterium 16S ribosomal RNA". It matches the Rfam family "Bacterial small subunit ribosomal RNA". The record is from RNAcentral. Lineage: Bacteria; Pseudomonadati; Pseudomonadota; Alphaproteobacteria.
AGAGUUUGAUCCUGGCUCAGAACGUACGCUGGCGGCACGCCUAACACAUGCAAGUCGAACGAAGUAGCAAUACUUAGUGGCAGACGGGUGAGUAACAUGUGGGUAUCUGCCCUUUGGCCUGGAAUAACACGAGGAAACUUGUGCUAAUACCGGAUAAGUCUUUACGGAGAAAGCUUUAUGCACCAUUGGAUGAGCCCGCACUUGAUUAGUUUGUUGGUGGGGUAAUGGCCUACCAAGACUGUGAUCAAUAGCUGAUUUGAGAGGAUGAUCAGCCACAUUGGGACUGAGACACGGCCCAAACUCCUACGGGAGGCAGCAGUGGGGAAUCUUGCACAAUGGAGGAAACUCUGAUGCAGCGAUGCCGCGUGAGUGAAGAAGGCCCUUGGGUUGUAAAGCUCUUUCGUCGGGGAAGAAAAUGACUGUACCCGAAUAAGAAGGUCCGGCUAACUUCGUGCCAGCAGCCGCGGUAAUACGAAGGGACCUAGCGUAGUUCGGAAUUACUGGGCUUAAAGAGUUCGUAGGUGGUUGAAAAAGUUAGUGGUGAAAUCCCAGAGCUUAACUCUGGAACUGCCAUUAAAACUUUUCAGCUAGAGUAUGAUAGAGGAGAGCAGAAUUUCUAGUGUAGAGGUGAAAUUCGUAGAUAUUAGAAAGAAUACCAAUUGCGAAGGCAGCUUUCUGGAUCAUUACUGACACUGAGGAACGAAAGCAUGGGUAGCGAAGAGGAUUAGAUACCCUCGUAGUCCAUGCCGUAAACGAUGUGUGUUAGACGUUGGAAAUUUAUUUUCAGUGUCGCAGCGAAAGCGAUAAACACACCGCCUGGGGAGUACGACCGCAAGGUUAAAACUCAAAUGAAUUGACGGGGACCCGCACAAGUAGUGGAGCAUGUGGUUUAAUUCGAAGAUACGCGCAGAACCUUACCAACACUUGACAUGUUCGUCGCGACUCUAAGAGAUUAGAGUUUUCGGUUCGGCCGGACGAAACACAGGUGCUGCAUGGCUGUCGUCAGCUCGUGUCGUGAGAUGUUGGGUUAAGUCCCGCAACGAGCGCAACCCUCACUUUUAGUUGCCAUCAUUAAGUUGGGCACUCUGAAAGAACUGCCAGUGAUAAACUGGAGGAAGGUGGGGAUGACGUCAAGUCCUCAUGGCCCUUACGUGUUGGGCUACACACGUGCUACAAUGGUAUCUACAACAGGAAGCAAGACUGCGAGGUCAAGCAAAUCCUUAAAAGAUACCUCAGUUCGGAUUGCACUCUGCAACUCGAGUGCAUGAAGCUGGAAUUACUAGUAAUCGUGGAUCAGCGUGCCACGGUGAAUGCGUUCCCGGGUCUUGUACACACCGCCCGUCACACCAUGGGAGUUGGUUCUACCUUAAGGCAAGGUUUCAAACCCUUGACCACGGUAUAGUCAGCGACUGGGGUGAAGUCGUAACAAGGUAACC